AUUUAUUUAUUUACUUUUCUUUCAUUCUCCUGACCACCUCUGACAUUGUUUUUAUUUUGAGGAGAUUUAAAAAUAACUUCCCUGUACUCAUUCAUCUUGCUCUCCUGAGAUAGAGGGAAUUUUCACAUUUUCCAGCCAGUUUUAAUGUAGCAGAAACAAUCAGAGGUGCUGCUGUGACUUUUGGUGUAUUAGAAAAGGGGAGGGCUGGGGCAGGUGGGCUUGGCCAAUAAAAUACAGCUGGGGAACAGGAAACUGCAGAGAGAUUUCCCAGACUUGGCCUGCGCUGCAGCCCCGCUGUGCUCUCCUGUGAAGCUGCACCAGGCCUCUGGGCUGAAUUCCCACCUGGGCUUGAGAGGGCCCUCCCAUGUUGGUCCUUCUUGCUCCCUAGUGCAAGACUUCCUUUGCCCACAACGACACUGCCUCCCAUGUACAGAACAGUGCUAUCGCUAUGACUCAUUUCUGCAUCUUGAUUGCUGAGAUCACUGAUCAGGUUUGUGACAAAACAGCAUCAAAUCUGAAGAGUUGUGUCCUCCCCGCACCACCCCCCUCGCCCCCACCAUUAUUUGCUCACCUUGAAGGUAAUCCAGGAUAGGAGUCCCUCUGAAGCAAACAGAACAUCCAUCAAAGACCCGAAAGAACAUAAGGCCUCAACUGUCAGAACAUGUAAUAAACAUAACCAGCCAGAGGACUGAGGGGAGGCAGAAGGCACACAGUUAACCACUGCAGCAGAAAGUAGCAGAAAUGAAG
Molecule: long non-coding RNA, 747 nt
Filed under: Homo sapiens (human)
Lineage: Eukaryota; Metazoa; Chordata; Mammalia; Primates; Hominidae
Description: HSALNT0007233
Source: RNAcentral